This 273-nucleotide ribosomal RNA is filed under the name uncultured bacterium. RNAcentral describes it as "partial 16S ribosomal RNA". It matches the Rfam family "Bacterial small subunit ribosomal RNA", at positions 524 to 796 of the family's 1533-position model. The record is from RNAcentral.
UACGGAGGGUGCAAGCGUUGCUCGGAAUUAUUGGGCGUAAAGGGGAGGUAGGUGGUCUCGUUUGUCAGAGGUGAAAUCCCUAGGCUUAACCUAGGACGUGCCUCCGAAACGGCGAGACUAGAGUACUGGAGAGGUUAGCGGAAUACCCGGUGUAGCGGUGAAAUGCGUAGAGAUCGGGUGGAACACCAGAGGCGAAGGCGGCAAACUGGACAGUUACUGACACUAAACUCCGAAAGCGUGGGGAGCAAACAGGAUUAGAAACCCCCGUAGUCC